RNAcentral lists this ribosomal RNA (406 nucleotides) under uncultured bacterium. Its description in RNAcentral is "partial 16S ribosomal RNA". It matches the Rfam family "Bacterial small subunit ribosomal RNA", at positions 30 to 526 of the family's 1533-position model. The record is from RNAcentral.
AUUGAACGCUGGCGGCAGGCCUAACACAUGCAAGUCGAGCGCGCGGCGGACGGGUGUGUAUUGUCUGGGAAACUGCCUGAUGGAGGGGGAUAUCUCCUGGAAACGGUAGCUAAUACCCCCUAUCAUCUGAUGUGCCCCGAUGGGAUUAGCUCGUAGGUGGGGUAACGGCUCACCUAGGCGACCAUCCCUAGCUGGUCUGAGAGGAUGACCAGCCACACUGGAACUGAGAAACGGUCCAGAUUCCUACGGGAGGCAGCAGGGGGGAAUAUUGCACAAUGGGCGCAAGCCUGAUGCAGCCAUGCCGCGUGUGUGAAGAAGGCCUUCGGGUUGUAAAGCACUGUCAGCGGGGAGGCGUUACCCGCAGAAGAAGCACCGGCUAACUCCGUGCCAGCCGCCGCGGUAAUUC